AUUAGCGGCGAACGGGUGAGGAACACGUGAGGAAUCUGCCUUCAACACUGGGAUAACUCCGGGAAACCGGGGCUAAUACCGGAUACGAGACCUGCAGGCAUCUGCGGGUCUGGAAAGUUUUUCGGUUGAAGAUGACCUCGCGGCCUAUCAGCUUGUUGGUGAGGUAAUGGCUCACCAAGGCGACGACGGGUAGCCGGCCUGAGAGGGCGACCGGCCACACUGGGACUGAGACACGGCCCAGACUCCUACGGGAGGCAGCAGUGGGGAAUAUUGGGCAAUGGAGGAAACUCUGACCCAGCGACGCCGCGUGCGGGAUGAAGGCCUUCGGGUUGUAAACCGCUUUCAGCAAGGAAGAAGCGAAAGUGACGGUACUUGCAGAAGAAGCACCGGCUAACUAUGUGCCAGCAGCCGCGGUAAUACAUAGGGUGCAAGCGUUGUCCGGAAUUAUUGGGCGUAAAGAGCUCGUAGGUGGUUCGUCACGUCGGAUGUGAAAAUCUGGGGCUUAACCCCAGACCUGCAUUCGAUACGGGCGAGCUAGAGUGUGGUAGGGGAGACUGGAAUUCCUGGUGUAGCGGUGGAAUGCGCAGAUAUCAGGAGGAACACCAAUGGCGAAGGCAGGUCUCUGGGCCAUUACUGACACUGAGGAGCGAAAGCGUGGGGAGCGAACAGGAUUAGAUACCCUGGUAGUCCACGCCGUAAACGGUGGGCACUAGUAGU
Molecule: ribosomal RNA, 717 nt
Filed under: uncultured Actinomycetes bacterium
Lineage: Bacteria; Bacillati; Actinomycetota; Actinomycetes
Description: bacterial SSU rRNA
Rfam family: Bacterial small subunit ribosomal RNA
Source: RNAcentral